AGCCUUUUAUUCAAAAAUGAUUUUAAAUUGCAAAUUUAAAGGUGGGGUAACCUUAAGGCUU
Molecule: transfer RNA, 61 nt
Filed under: Pselaphinae sp. 7 EF-2015
Lineage: Eukaryota; Metazoa; Arthropoda; Insecta; Coleoptera; Staphylinidae
Description: tRNA-Cys
Source: RNAcentral